ACAGGUCAAAUACAAAGCGGACUGAGGCUGCUCUCCUUCAAACUGAAGAGUAUGCAUGGAACAAAGAAGAGCCUUCUCUUUCCACAAAAGCAAGUUACUCUUCAUGGACUGCCAUCCAGGGUGAUGGUGGACUGUAAUGUUUCUCAAAACAUAUCUGAGAGAUGCUCCUCUUGCCUGUAAGAAUUGCCUCCGUCAUCUCCAGCUUAGCUCACAGCCCAGGUGGGUAAAUGAUGGUACCAUCAGGGAAACAGGUCAGCCAGUGGCCUUGCAGCUGGUCAGCGUCCCAGUUGGAAAGCCUGGAAGGACAAGGCAUGCAGGACAGUGUACCAGGUUUCAUAGAGAUGCAGAGAUAGUCUGA
Molecule: long non-coding RNA, 358 nt
Filed under: Meleagris gallopavo (turkey)
Lineage: Eukaryota; Metazoa; Chordata; Aves; Galliformes; Phasianidae
Description: lncRNA (ENSMGAG00000021987.1)
Source: RNAcentral